GCUCCAGUGGCACAAUGGGUCAGUGCACAGUACUUAUAAGGCAGUACCAAGAUGCAGAUAUGCUGAGGUUGUGAGUUCAAGCCUCACCUGGAGCA
Molecule: transfer RNA, 95 nt
Filed under: Pelodiscus sinensis (Chinese soft-shelled turtle)
Lineage: Eukaryota; Metazoa; Chordata; Testudines; Trionychidae
Rfam family: tRNA
About the family: Transfer RNA (tRNA) molecules are approximately 80 nucleotides in length. Their secondary structure includes four short double-helical elements and three loops (D, anti-codon, and T loops). Further hydrogen bonds mediate the characteristic L-shaped molecular structure. tRNAs have two regions of fundamental functional importance: the anti-codon, which is responsible for specific mRNA codon recognition, and the 3' end, to which the tRNAs corresponding amino acid is attached (by aminoacyl-tRNA synthetases). tRNAs cope with the degeneracy of the genetic code in two manners: having more than one tRNA (with a specific anti-codon) for a particular amino acid; and 'wobble' base-pairing, i.e. permitting non-standard base-pairing at the 3rd anti-codon position.
Source: Rfam by way of RNAcentral